Molecule: long non-coding RNA, 842 nt
Filed under: Rattus norvegicus (Norway rat)
Lineage: Eukaryota; Metazoa; Chordata; Mammalia; Rodentia; Muridae
Description: long non-coding RNA NONRATT031694
Source: RNAcentral
GUACAAGAUAACUAAGAGGAGAUACCUUGUGAUGUCACCUGACAACCACUUUUGUCACUGUUUGUUGUCUGAGACAAGAAUUUCACAUAAGCCCAGGCUGCCUGUAAACCCUCAAACUUGCUAUGUAGCUUUGAAAUUCUGAUCCUCCUGCCUCCAGCUGCCAAGCACUGGGAUUGCAGGGGUGUGCUAGGAUACUCGGCCCCCGAUAUAUGGCAUUUAAUUUUGCACUGAGAGCUACUCUGUCUACCACUCAAGUGAAAUGCAUCCGUCCACUGCCUAACCACCACUCUCCCCUCUGCUAGAAACCUUUUCUCCAACCUACUUCAAAGCGUUUGGCUAUCUUCUAAAUGGUGAGGGUCAUCGACAUCCAAACCUUCAGACAGCGGAAGAUUGCAGUGUCAGCAUGGCGCGGCCAGGAGAGACCGUCACCAAGAAGCCGGGACAGGAAAGGGAUCUUUAUAAGCUAUGACUAACAAGAAAAGCAAACUUUAGUAAUUCAGAGGCUGAGAGACAGAAUGAGACUUUGGCCAGCCACACAGGGAAUGGAGCAAGCAGGAGCUGUGACACAGCCCAACGGUAGAGUACCUGCCAAGUACGAGGAAGUCCUUGGGUUCGAUCCCCAGCAUAGGAAGAGAGCCAAGCUUGGUUGUAUCCACUCACAAUCACAGAACUCCGAAGGUGAACGCAGGAGGCUGAGGAGUUUAAGGUCAGCCAGGACUCGACGAGACCUCUUGAGAACGAAAGGAAAGAAGGGGGGCCGAGGCAUGAAGCAGGUCUUGCCAUCAAGAACUGGCAGAGACAUUCUCCUCCCACUCCUGUCACCUGCAUCAGAAAUAACCUGA